CAAUUUUUUAUGUUGCUAUGUUUGGGUUUCAGGCAUAGUAAGCAAAUUGUUUUCUCCGACUCCUAAUUCUCCUUCAGGAUUGUUUAUAAAACAAAGACCAGAGAGUAUUGUGAUAUAUAAAGAUGUGGAUGGUGGUACAACAAAUAAUACGUGCAAGGCAAAUAAAAGCAACUAACUGAGAAUUGGAUGUUCACUUGGCAUUGUACAGCAGAAAGAGUGGGCAACUGAAAUCAGCAGCCCCAUUUGAACUUGUGCAACCAUAUAUGAAGAGGUAGCAUCCCCAUUCGAACUUCUGCAGCCACAUAUGAAGAGGAGGAAGACACAAUUUUCAUGUGAUAUAUGUUGAUCAAGAUUGGUAUGAUUUGGGUGACUCCAACCGUGAAGGAAGUGUUAGGCUGGAAAUGGGCAUUACUUGGGAGCUG
Non-coding RNA from Prunus avium (sweet cherry), 422 nucleotides. NCBI's taxonomy places the organism in Eukaryota, Viridiplantae, Streptophyta, Magnoliopsida, Rosales, Rosaceae. The record is from RefSeq and is a predicted model, not a curated record.